AACGAACGCUGGCGGCAUGCCUAACACAUGCAAGUCGAACGAGACCUUCGGGUCUAGUGGCGCACGGGUUCGUAACGCGUGGGAACCUGCCCUUAGGUUCGGAAUAACUCCCCGAAAGGGGUGCUAAUACCGGAUAAUGUCUUCGGACCAAAGAUUUAUCGCCUUUGGAUGUGCCCGCGUUGGAUUAGCUAGUUGGUAGGGUAAAAGCCUACCAAGGCGACGAUCCAUAGCUGGUCUGAGAGGAUGAUCAGCCACACUGGGACUGAGACACGGCCCAGACUCCUACGGGAGGGAGCAGUGGGGAAUAUUGGACAAUGGGCGAAAGCCUGAUCCAGCAAUGCCGCGUGAGUGAUGAAGGCCUUAGGGUUGUAAAGCUCUUUUACCCGGGAUGAUAAUGACAGUACCGGGAGAAUAAGCUCCGGCUAACUCCGUG
Molecule: ribosomal RNA, 433 nt
Filed under: uncultured bacterium
Lineage: Bacteria
Description: partial 16S ribosomal RNA
Rfam family: Bacterial small subunit ribosomal RNA
Source: RNAcentral